RNAcentral lists this ribosomal RNA (491 nucleotides) under uncultured bacterium. RNAcentral's name for it is "partial 16S ribosomal RNA". It matches the Rfam family "Bacterial small subunit ribosomal RNA", at positions 29 to 506 of the family's 1533-position model. The record is from RNAcentral.
AGUGAACGCUGGCGGUAGGCCUAACACAUGCAGGUCGAACGGCAGCACAGUAAGAGCUUGCUCUUACGGGUGGCGAGUGGCGGACGGGUGAGGAAUACAUCGGAAUCUACUUUUUCGUGGGGGAUAACGUAGGGAAACUUACGCUAAUACCGCAUACGACCUACGGGUGAAAGCAGGGGAUCUUCGGACCUUGCGCGAUUGAAUGAGCCGAUGUCGGAUUAGCUAGUUGGCGGGGUAAAGGCCCACCAAGGCGACGAUCCGUAGCUGGUCUGAGAGGAUGAUCAGCCACACGGGAACUGAGACACGGUCCAGACUCCUACGGGAGGCAGCAGUGGGGAAUAUUGGACAAUGGGCGCAAGCCUGAUCCAGCCAUACCGCGUGGGUGAAGAAGGCCUUCGGGUUGUAAAGCCCUUUUGUUGGGAAAGAAAAGCAGCAGGUUAAUACCCCGCUGUUCGGACGGUACCCAAAGAAUAAGCACCGGCUAACUUCGU